Galeopterus variegatus (Sunda flying lemur) is the source of this 750-nucleotide long non-coding RNA. RefSeq lists it as uncharacterized. Lineage: Eukaryota; Metazoa; Chordata; Mammalia; Dermoptera; Cynocephalidae. The record is from RefSeq and is a predicted model, not a curated record. The transcript is spliced from 2 exons.
UCUUUGUAAACAAAGUGCCUCAUGCUCCCAGGUUACCAAAUACAUUUAAAAUUUUUCAGUUUCUAAUGAAAUCAUAGGUACCAUUAUGGCUUAUGGAAAUGGAAUGCUUGUGUGAUGAUCACCUUUAAUGUAUUCACUUGAUACAUUUAAGAAACAAAUACUUAAAUUUGUGUUAUGUUUCCUUAAAAAUUCUGCCCCCAUAAAAACAGAUCAUAGUAAUCCUCCCAACUACCAAAAAAUGGGUUGGGGUGGGGAGGAAUGAGUGAAAAUAUAGCAGUCAUAAUAAUUUUCUCAAAGUACAGAUACUGAAGUUCAAGUCCAAUAAUAAAAGGAGAGGCUUUGUAUCCCAGAGUGUUUGAUCAUCAGGUUCCUGUUUCAUCACAGACUAGAAGUAGCAAAAUUAAGAUCAAAGAAACUAGCAAAUGUUCAAAAAGGAGAACAGAAUGGAGCCAUUUAAUGCAGAAACAUUUGGCAGCACCACAUCUAAAAAUCUGUAUAUUGCAAACAUUAAUAUGCUACACAAAGAUGACAUUCCCAGCAGUCUUCCCCAAUUCAAAAACAGCACCCAAGGCUAACAUUUAUUUCAGCUCAGGAUAAUUAUUUAUUCCCCUAAAAACUGUUCUAUAUACUCUGGAAGAAGGCAGAGAAGCGUGCAUUUCAUUUAAGAAGAAGAUAACAUUCAGUUGGUCAGAGUGCAGCCUUAUAACACCAAGGUUAUGGGUUUGGAUCCCCAUACCAGCCAGCUGACCC